Cyprinus carpio (common carp) is the source of this 1087-nucleotide long non-coding RNA. NCBI's taxonomy places the organism in Eukaryota, Metazoa, Chordata, Actinopteri, Cypriniformes, Cyprinidae. The record is from Ensembl.
UUUACAGACAUUUUCAUGCUUAGUCUCAGAGAUCAGAGCAAUAAUAUCCACCGGGAGGUGCUUUUUGAGAACCAGGAGUUGGGUCGUGUGCAGGAUGAGCUGGGUGUCGUUCAGCAGAAUGUUCUCUCUCUUUUGACGUCUUUACAGUCGGAGUCAGCUGCUCAACACUUACAGGUUGGUGCCUGUGUUUGACAGGCAGGCUGUCUGUUUCUGCAGCCCUUGGUGUUGAUAUUGUGUUCACUGUGUUGUAUUGCACUGUAGGAAGUCAAAGUGGAGUUGGUUUCCCAGAAGGCUCGACUGCAGGAUGUCAUGGACAGAGUGCAGAAGAAAUGGAGCUGUGUGCCUACAGAGAUUCAAAUCGUACACAAUGAGCUCAACGUCUCCAUGCAGGAGGCCCAAGACAAAUUGGUCAUGGUCAUGGAGAGAAGUGGUCCUCUCUGCAAAAUGGGUGAGCUGGUUGGAGAGGUGAGGGUGGGCUUGAAUUGUGUGCAGGCCCUGCUGAAGCAAACAAGUCCUAAUUUUUCUGAAGCUGAACAUACACAAAAGGUACUUCUUUCUGGCUUGCCUUCAUGUGAACAUUAUUGAAAAUAUCUUUCUAUCAGUUGCUUAGUUUUUCUUUUCUCUCUCUUUACUUAGUUUUGCAUAUUACUUAAACAUUCUUUUAAUGUAUUCUUACUCUAUAAUUGUAAAAAUAUAAGUACAAAACAAACAAAUUAUGGUGCCAUUUUCAUUGUAAACAACGUUUAAUAUAAAUGGCAAAACUAAUUAAUGUAUAAUGAAACUGAAACUACCGGUGUGUGAGAAAUGUGCUGUCAAAAAAAAAAGAAUCUUUUCAGAUUUUAAAAGUCUUGUAGUAUAUUCCAGCCUCAAACCUGGGUUCACAUACUUCUCUCCUUCAACACAAAUCCAAAUGUGUGCGGUUUGCAUGUUUUUAAUACUUGACGCUAAUUGCAUUAUAUAAUAGAGAGAGAGAGAGAGAGAGAAUAUAUGAACACUUGGUAAAAUGUCUAAAAUUCUUUACAUUUUUAAAAUGUACAAAAUAUAAUUAAGAAAUAAAAAAAAUAAAAAAAGAAUAAAAGUGAAAUAU